AACGAACGCUGGCGGCAUGCCUAACACAUGCAAGUCGAACGAGACCUUCGGGUCUAGUGGCGCACGGGUGCGUAACGCGUGGGAAUCUGCCCUUUGCUUCGGAAUAACAGUUAGAAAUGACUGCUAAUACCGGAUGAUGUCUUCGGACCAAAGAUUUAUCGGCAAAGGAUGAGCCCGCGUAGGAUUAGGUAGUUGGUGGGGUAAAGGCCUACCAAGCCGACGAUCCUUAGCUGGUCUGAGAGGAUGAUCAGCCACACUGGGACUGAGACACGGCCCAGACUCCUACGGGAGGCAGCAGUGGGGAAUAUUGGGACAAUGGGGCGGAAAGGACCUGAUCCAGCAAUG
This 345-nucleotide ribosomal RNA is filed under the name uncultured bacterium. Its description in RNAcentral is "bacterial SSU rRNA". It matches the Rfam family "Bacterial small subunit ribosomal RNA", at positions 29 to 396 of the family's 1533-position model. The record is from RNAcentral.